Molecule: ribosomal RNA, 379 nt
Filed under: uncultured Streptococcus sp.
Lineage: Bacteria; Bacillati; Bacillota; Bacilli; Lactobacillales; Streptococcaceae
Description: bacterial SSU rRNA
Rfam family: Bacterial small subunit ribosomal RNA
Source: RNAcentral
GAGAUAGAAAGUUACUUUCGGUACAUCGGUGACAGGUGGUGCAUGGUUGUCGUCAGCUCGUGUCGUGAGAUGUUGGGUUAAGUCCCGCAACGAGCGCAACCCCUAUUGUUAGUUUGCCAUCAUUCAGUUGGGCACUCUAGCGAGACUGCCGGUAAUAAACCGGAGAAGGUGGGGAUGACGUCAAAUCAUCAUGCCCCUUAUGACCUGGGCUACACACGUGCUACAAUGGUUGGUACAACGAGUUGCGAGUCGGUGACGGCGAGCUAAUCUCUUAAAGCCAAUCUCAGUUCGGAUUGUAGGCUGCAACUCGCCUACAUGAAGUCGGAAUCGCUAGUAAUCGCGGAUCAGCACGCCGCGGUGAAUACCGUUCCCGGGCCUU